AGCAAAUUGAGGGUAUUUCUGGAGGCUGUGUGGUCGUUUGUGAGAGGAUGGGAAGAAGGAGAACCCCCUGCUAAAGGGCCUUGCUGCCAUACUUGAUUGAUUGUGGUCAUAUUAGCAGGAAGAACAAUUGUUGCAAAAAUUGUCAUUUCAUUAUUGACAUAAGUAGCUGUAAGUUGAGGAACUUCAAAGCUCAACUGGCUUUCUUGCAGGGUUGGACCAGGGGCAACAACAUUAGAAGUGUAAGCAUGAGCAAUUCCAGAGGAAUUUUGGUAAGCUACAAGAGCUUGAGAGCCAAACAUAUUAAGGCUU
RNAcentral lists this unclassified non-coding RNA (309 nucleotides) under Hevea brasiliensis (rubber tree). The record is from RNAcentral. Lineage: Eukaryota; Viridiplantae; Streptophyta; Magnoliopsida; Malpighiales; Euphorbiaceae.